GAGAGCGGCGGAACCUCGGAACCGGUUUUGGCCUCUCCACGUUCCGAUCCUCGGGAAUUCCUCGGGAAUUCCUCGGGAAGCGCGGAAGGACACGGAAAUCAGGCCAAGAGGGGCUUAGCGGAGCUUUUCCACGUCAGAAACCAUCGGAGUCACGCGGCUGCUCCAAACCCGGAUUUGGGGCUGUUUCCACCCAAAUCCGCAGCGGGACAGAGAUGGGGGUGCUCGGGGUUAGCGGGAAUCGCCCACGGGAGGCGGCGAUCCCACGGAUUGGGAAGUUAUUUUGGGGGAAAUUUGGGAUAUUUUCCCUUUGGAUCCCCGUUUCUAUCCUCCUCAAGGCUCCAGGGAUGGAAUUGUUCCUCCUGGGAAGUUAUUUUGGGGGAAAUUUGGGAUAUUUUCCCUUGGGAUCCCCAUUCCCGUUCUCCUCAAGGUUCCAGGGAUGGAAUUGUUCCUCCUGGGAAGUUAUUUUGGGGAAAAAUUGGGAUAUUUUCCCAUGGAAUCCCCAUUUCCCUUCUCUCCAAAGCUCUGGGGACAGAGUUGUUCCUCCUGGGAAGUUAUUUUGGGGAAAAAUUGGGAUAUUUUCCCGUGGAAUCUCCAUCUCCAUCCUCCCCAAGGCUCCAGGGAUGGAAUUAUUCCCCUCAGAGUGACAUUUUGGGGGAAAUUUGGGAUAUUUUCCCCUUGGAUCUCCAUCUCCAUCCUCCCUAACGCUCCAGGGAUGGAAUUGUUCCUCCUGGGAAGUUAUUUUGGAGGAAAUUUGGGAUAUUUUCCCAUGGAAUCUCCAUCUCCAUCCUCCCCAAGGCUCCAGGGAUGGAAUUGUUCCUCCUGGGAAGAUAUUUUGGGGAAAUUUGGGAUAUUUUCCCGUGGGAUCCCCGUCUCCAUCUUCCCUGAGGCUCCAGGGAUGGAAUUGUUCCUCCUGGGAAGUUAUUUUGGAGGAAAAUUGGGAUAUUUUCCCAUGGGAUCUCCAUCUCCAUCCUCCCCAAGGCCCCAGGGAUGGAAUUGUUCCUCCUGGGAAGUUAUUUCAGGGAAAAUUUGGGAUAUUUUCCCAUGGGAUCCCCGUCUCCAUCCUCCCCAAGGCUCCAGGGAUGGAAUUGUUCCUCCUGGGAAGUUAUUUGGGGAAAAAUUGGGAUAUUUUCCCAUGGAAUCCCCAUUUCCAUCCUCCCCAAGGCUCCAGGGAUGGAAUUGUUCCUCCUGGGAAGUUAUUUUGGGGGAAAUUUGGGAUAUUUUCCCGUGGAAUCUCCAUCUCCAUCCUCCCCAAGGCUCCAGGGAUGGAAUUAUUCCCCUCAGAGUGACAUUUUGGGGGAAAUUUGGGAUAUUUUCCCACAGAAUCUCCAUCUCCAUCCUCCCUAAGGCUCCAGGAAUGGAAUUAUUCCCCUCAGAGUGGCAUUUUGGGGGAAAUUUGGGAUAUUUUCCCAUGGGAUCUCCAUUUCCAUCCUCCCCAAGGCUCCAGGGAUGGAAUUGUUCCUCCUGGGAAGUUAUUUUGGGGAAAUUUGGGAUAUUUUCCCAUGGGAUCUCCAUCUCCAUCCUCCCCAAGGCUCCAGGAAUGGAACUGCUCCACCUGGGAAGUUAUUUUGGGGGAAAUUUGGGAUAUUUUCCUGUGGGAUCCUCGUUUCCAUCCUCCCCAAGGCUCCAGGGAUGGAAUUGUUCCUCCUGGGAAGUUAUUUUGGGGGAAAUUUGGGAUAUUUUCCCUUGGGAUCCCCAUUUCCCUUCUCUCCAAAGCUCUGGGGACAGAUUUGUUCCUCCUGGGAAGUUAUUUCAGGGAAAAUUUGGGAUAUUUUCCCAUGGAAUCUCCAUUUCCAUCCUCCCCAAAGCUCCAGGGAUGGAAUUGCUCCUCCUGGGAAGUUAUUUUGGGGGAAAUUUGGGAUAUUUAUCCGUGGGAUUCCCGACUCCAUCCUCCCCAAGGCUCCAGGGAUGGAAUUGCUCCUUCUGGGAAGUUAAUUUGGGGGAAAUUUGGGAUAUUUUCCUGUGGGAUCCCCGUCUCCGUCCCCCCCAAGGCUCCAGGGAUGGAAUUGUUCCUCCUGGGAAGUUAAUUUGGGGGAAAUUUGGGAUAUUUUCCCGUGGGAUCCCCGUCUCCGUCCUCCCCAAGGCUCCAGGGAUGGAACUGCUCCUUCUGGGAAUUUAUUUUGGGGGAAAUUUGGGAUAUUUUAUUGCGGGAUCCCCGUCUCCAUCCUCCCCCAAGGCUCCAGGGAUGGAAUUAUUCCCUCAGAGUGACAUUUUGGGGGAAUUUGGGAUAUUUUCCCAUGGAAUCUCCAUCUCCAUCCGCCCCCAAGGCUCCAGGGAUGGAAUUGUUCCUCCUGGGAAGUUAUUUUGGGGGAAAUUUGGGAUAUUUUCCCUUGGGAUCCCCAUCUCCAUCCUCCCCAAGGCUCCAGGGAUGGAAUUGUUCCUCCUGGGAAGUUAUUUCAGGGAAAAAUUGGGAUAUUUUCCCGUAGGAUCCCCAUCUCCGUCCUCCCCAAGGCUCCAGGGAUGGAAUUAUUCCCCUCAGAGUGACAUUUUGGGGGAAAUUUGGGAUAUUUUCCCAUGGGAUCCCCAUUUCCAUCCUCCCCAAAGCUCCAGGGAUGGAAUUAUUCCCUCAGAGUGGCAUUUUGGGGGAAAUUUGGGAUAUUUUCCCACAGAAUCUCCAUUUCCAUCGUCCCUAAGGCUCCAGGGAUGGAAUUGUUCCUCCUGGGAAGUUAUUUUUGGGGGAAAUUUGGGAUAUUUUCCCGUGGAAUCUCCAUCUCCAUCCUCCCCAAAGCUCCAGGGAUGGAAUUUCUCCUCCUGGGAAGUUAUUUUGGGGGAAAUUUGGGAUAUUUUCCCAUGGGAUCCCCAUUUCCAUCCUCCCCAAGGCUCCAGGGAUGGAAUUAUUCCCCUCAGGGAGUUUUUUUGGGAUAUUUUCCCCUUGGAUCCCCAUCUCCAUCCUCACUGGGACUCCGGGAUGGGAUUUUUCCCUCAGGGAGGAAUUUUGGGGACAAUUUUCCCCCGGGAUCCCCGUUCCCAUCCUCAGCAGGACUCCGGGGACGGAAUCGUUCCCUCAGGGAGGCGUUGGGGGAAAUCCUCUUUUUCCCUCUUUUUCCCUCUUUUUCCCUCUUUUUCCCUCUUUUCCCCUCUUUAUUUUUCCCUCUUUUUCCCCCUUUUUCCCUCUUUUUCCCUCUUUUUCCCUCUUUUUUCCUCUUUUCCCUCUUUUUCCCUCUUUUUCCCUCUUUUCCCCCUCUUUUCCCCUCUUUUUCCUCUUUUUUCCCUCUUUUUCCUUCUUUUCCCCUCUUUUUCCCUCUUUUCUCCUCUUUUCCCCUCUUUUUCCCUCUUUCUCCCACUUUUUCUCUCUUUUUCCCUCUUUUUCCCUCUUUCUCCCACUUUUUCUUCUCUUUUUCCCUCUUUUCCCCUCUUUUUCCCUCUUUUUCCCUCUUUUCCCCUCUUUUCCCCCCUUUUUCCCUCUUUUCCCCUCUUUUUCCCUCUUUUUUUUUCCCUCUUUAUUUUUCCCUCUUUAUUUUUCCCUCUUUAUUUUUCCCUCUUUUUCCCUCUUUUCCCCUCUUUUCCCUCUUUUCCCCUUUUUCCCUCUUUUCCCCUCUUUUUCCCUCUUUUUCCCUCUUUUCUCCUAUUUUUCCCUCUUUUCCCCUCUUUUUCCCCCUUUUCCCCUCUUUUUCCCUCUUUUCCCUCUUUUCCCCUCUUUUUCCCUCUUUUCCCUCUUUUUCCCUCUUUUUUCCUCUUUUUCCCUCUUUUUUUUCCCUCUUUUCCCUCUUUUUCCUUCUUUUUUCCCUCUUUUUCCCUCUUUUUUCCUCUUUUUUUUCGCUCUUUUCCCCUCUUUUUCCCUCUUUUUCCCUCUUUUCCCCUCUUUUUCCCUCUUUUCCCCUCUUUUUUUUCCCCUCUUUUUCCCUCUUUUUCCCUCUUUUUCCCUCUUUUUCCCUCUUUUCCCGUUCCCGCCCUUCCAGGAUGGGACUGUCCCCCCCCAGGGGACACGGGGGGACACGGAGGGGACACGGGGGGACAUCCCGGAGGUGGCACUGGGGACUUUGGGGAUGUUCCAUCACCAUUCCAGAGAAGGAAAAUCCAUGGAUUUCUGAUCCUUCCGCCGCACGUGUGUGAAAUUCCAUGGAAUUCCAGGAAUAUCCAUGGGAAAGAAGCCUCGGGGUGGGGUGGGGGAAUUUCCUGGUGAUUCCCGGGAGGAAUUUCCUGGUGAUUCCAGGGAGGAAUUUCCUGGUGAUUCCAGGGAGGAAUUUCCUGGUGAUUCCAGGGGGAAUUUCCUGGUGAUUCCCGGGAGGAAUUUCCUGGUGAUUCCCGGGAGGAAUUUCUGCCCCUUCCUGAUCCCGGAUCCCGGGAAGGGUUCCCGGCCCGCGGGACGCGGCUCCUGGAGACGGAAAUAAAGGAUUGUGGAAUUUCGGCGGCCUCCGGGACCUUGGAUUUGUACCCGGGAAUUCCAUCGGGAUCUGGGAAAGGAGGAUCCUGAUCUUCUGGAAGUUGAGGUUAUUCCCUCGGGAUCUGGGAAAGGAGGGCCCCGAUCUUCUGGAAUUUGGGGUUCUUCCAUCGGGAUCUGGGAAAGGAGGAUCCCGAUCUUCUGGGAUCUUGGCUUUGUACCCGGGAAUUCCACCGGGAUCUGGGAAAGGAGGAUCCUGAUCCUCUGGGAUCUUGGAUUUGUACCCAGGAAUUCCCUCAGGAUCUGGAAAGGAGGAUCCCAACCUUCUGGAAUUUGGGAUUCUUCCCUCGGGAUCUGGGAACGAGGAUCCCGAUCUUCUGGAAUUUGGGGUUCUUCCCUUGGGAUCUGGGAAAGGAGGAUCCCGAUCUUCCGGAAUUUGGGGUUCUUCCAUCGGGAUCUGGGAAAGGAGGAUCCCAACCUUCCGGAAUUUGGGAUUCUUCCAUUGGGAUCUGGGAAAGGAGGAUCCUGAUCUCCUGGGGUCUUGGAUUUGUUCCCGGGAAUUCUGUUGGGAUCUGGGAAAGGAGGAUCCCAACCUUCUGGAAGUUGGAAUUCUUCCAUUGGGAUCUGGAAAAGGAGGAUCCUGAUCUUCUGGAAGUUGGAGUUCUUCCCUUGGGAUCUGGGAAAGAGGAUCCCGAUCCCCUGGGACCUCAGCUUUGCCUCCAGGAAUUCCCUCGGGAUCUGGGAAAAGAGGAUCCCGAUCUUCCAGAAUUUGGGGUCCUUCCCUCGGGAUCUGGGAGAGGAGGAUCCCGAUUUUCCGGAAUUUGGGGUUCUUCCCUCAGGAUCUGGGAAAGGAGGAUCCCGAUCUUCCAGAAUUUGGGGUUCUUCCAUUGGGAUCUGGGAAAGGAGGAUCCAGAUCUUCUGGGAUCUCAGCUUUGUACCCGGGAAUUCCAUCGGGAUCUGGGAAAGGAGAAUCCCGAUCUUCCGGAAUUUGGGAUCCUUCCCUCGGGAUCUGGGAAAGGAGGGUCCCGAUCUUCUGGAAUUUGGGGUUCUUCCAUCGGAAUCUGGGAAGGACGGUCCUGAUCUCCUGGGAUCUUGGAUACGUACCCAGGAAUUCCCUCGGGAUCUGGGAAAGGAGGAUCCCGAUCCCUCAGGAACACGGGGGGAUUCUUCCCUCGGAAUAUGGGAAAAUUCCUGUCCCCAAUGUCACAUUUCUGUCCCCCCCCAAUGUCACAUUUCUGUCCCCCCCAAUGUCACAUUUCUGUCCCCCCAAUGUCACAUUUCUGUCCCCAGUGUCACAUUUCUGUCCCCCAAUGUCACAUUUCUGUCCCCCCAAUGUCACAUUUCUGUCCCCAAUGUCACAUUUCUGUCCCCCCAAUGUCACAUUUCUGUCCCCAAUGUCACAUUUCUGUCCCCCCCAAUGUCACAUUUCUGUCCCCAAUGUCACAUUUCUGUCCCCAGUGUCACAUUUCUGUCCCCAAUGUCACAUUUCUGUCCCCCCAAUGUCACAUUUCUGUCCCCAAUGUCACAUUUCUGUCCCCAGUGUCACAUUUCUGUCCCCAAUGUCACAUUCCUGUCCCCAAUGUCACAUUUCUGUCCCCAAUGUCACAUUUCUGUCCCCCCCAAUGUCACAUUUCUGUCCCCAAUGUCACAUUUCUGUCCCCCCAAUGUCACAUUUCUGUCCCCCCCAAUGUCACAUUUCUGUCCCCCCAGUGUCACAUUUCUGUCCCCCCAAUGUCACAUUUCUGUCCCCCCAAUGUCACAUUUCUGUCCCCAGUGUCACAUUUCUGUCCCCAAUGUCACAUUUCUGUCCCCAGUGUCACAUUUCUGUCCCCCCAAUGUCACAUUUCUGUCCCCCCAAUGUCACAUUUCUGUCCCCCCAAUGUCACAUUUCUGUCCCCCCCAAUGUCACAUUUCUGUCCCCAGUGUCACAUUUCUGUCACCCCCAGUGUCACAUUUCUGUCCCCAAUGUCACAUUUCUGUCCCCAGUGUCACAUUUCUGUCCCCCCAAUGUCACAUUUCUGUCCCCCCAAUGUCACAUUUCUGUCCCCCCCAAUGUCACAUUUCUGUCCCCAAUGUCACAUUUCUGUC
This 6406-nucleotide long non-coding RNA is filed under the name Taeniopygia guttata (zebra finch). RNAcentral describes it as "lncRNA (ENSTGUG00000021956.1)". Lineage: Eukaryota; Metazoa; Chordata; Aves; Passeriformes; Estrildidae. The record is from RNAcentral.